This is a non-coding RNA of Schizosaccharomyces pombe (fission yeast), 987 nucleotides long. The record is from the annotation of a GenBank genome assembly. Lineage: Eukaryota; Fungi; Ascomycota; Schizosaccharomycetes; Schizosaccharomycetales; Schizosaccharomycetaceae.
AAUGACCUGGAUGAAACAUGUAAAGAGGAUAACCGAAAUCGGAAGAUUGAUGAAUCAAGUAAAGUCAUUGUAAUUUAAGGAAAACAAUUAUUGCGUCUUUCUACGUUUAAGAUGGAAAACUGGUGUAAAUGACAGAGAUUUUUUGACAAAGUGUUAUGGAAGGAUAAUUAUUAGAAAGCUCCAAUUUUUUCUAAUAACAAGUAGGCAAUGUAGAGAUGCAAACUAUUAUUUUUCGCAAUAGGAGGACUUAAAGAUCCUAAGAAAAAGUUUUUUAUGUUUUACUCGUGAACAAGUUAAAGUUGAGUCAUUCCUACCUUCUCAUGAUGGUACGUCCACCAUACUACACCACGAGGUAGCAUUUGAAGGCAUGUGUUACUUGAUGCAAAAAUCGAGAUUUUGAUCAAAAACUAUGGAAUUUGGGAGUGUAUGAGUGAUAAUAACUAAGGAGCAUAAAAUCCUGAAGGAAAUUUCUAUUCAAAUGUUAAAGCAGGAUGUUUAGUGAAAAGGAAAGGUCGGGAAGCAAUGUUUACUUAAGUAGUGUACAUAUAUGAAAUAGAAUCUAUACUUCUGCUUCAGUAAUUUGGAAACAUACUCUGAAAUUCCUAUACUCUCGUUAAAGAAAGGCUUUCAAGAUUCAACGGUACUUAAAAUAGCAAUGGAAAAGAGCGAAAUUUAGUAGCCUGUCCGUGUGUCAAAUCAAGCUACUAGGGCAUGUGCUGCAAGUUACGAUAACGUAAUUAUUUAAUUAGUAAAAGAUAUAAUUGAAUCCAUCGGGUGAAGGAGACUUUUAGAAUGCGGAAAGUGGACGAGAGGAGGCAAUGAAAACACAAAAUACGAAAUACAUCUAUAAAGGGUGCAAGAAGAAGCACUGGCAUUCCUUUCUUUAAAAACUUACGUUACAUUUAUCUUCUCAGUAGAAGGAAGGAAUGUUUGCACAUUGGCGGACUUUAGACUUUGAUAAAUUCUUCGAGAGCUCAGAGUUAAGUU